UACGUAGGGCGCAAGCGUUGUCCGGAAUUAUUGGGCGUAAAGAGCUCGUAGGUGGCCUGUCGCGUCGGCUGUGAAAACUCGGGGCUCAACUCCGAGCUUGCAGUCGAUACGGGCAGGCUAGAGUUCGGCAGGGGAGACUGGAAUUCCUGGUGUAGCGGUGAAAUGCGCAGAUAUCAGGAGGAACACCGGUGGCGAAGGCGGGUCUCUGGGCCGAUACUGACACUGAGAAGCGAAAGCGUGGGGAGCGAACAGG
RNAcentral lists this ribosomal RNA (253 nucleotides) under uncultured bacterium. RNAcentral's name for it is "partial 16S ribosomal RNA". It matches the Rfam family "Bacterial small subunit ribosomal RNA", at positions 524 to 776 of the family's 1533-position model. The record is from RNAcentral.